This is a long non-coding RNA of Daucus carota subsp. sativus, 526 nucleotides long. RefSeq lists it as uncharacterized. Lineage: Eukaryota; Viridiplantae; Streptophyta; Magnoliopsida; Apiales; Apiaceae. The transcript is spliced from 3 exons. The record is from RefSeq and is a predicted model, not a curated record.
UGAAUAGAUAUAACAUAUGUUUUAGUCUCUGCAGUCUGUUCUCUCGAGCAGAGCUUGUGCCUGGCUAGUGUAAGUACUCACCUUUUUAUUAAUCCAAAUUACCCACCGAUCAAAUACAAACCGAAUACAAUCACUGAAUCAUCUAUCAGCUACUAGUUAAUUAGAUAUGUGCUUGAGGCUUCUGAUGUGGAGCGCUGCGUUUUCUGUCCUUACCUGUCCGAGCUCCGCCUAAUCCAUGGAUGUUUCUUCUUCAGUUCUUCUGCAGAGUAAUUCCGGAAUCUAAAGAUUAAACAAAGUCAUGGGUGAUGGCCUGAUGGGUACCAGCAGGCUAGCAGAGUAGCAGGCAACAGCUGAAAAGGGGGAAUUCUCAAUUCUGUGAUUACAAAAUUAAGUUAAUCAAUUAUGCAUCGAUUCUAUAAAAAACUCCGAACAUCUCCCCCCUCAUCUCCAACACCUCCCCAGCCAAUAGUAAAUGAGUCUCCAAUUGUAGAUGUUCCUGAAUCUUACCCACCAGAUUUAAACCCGG